Molecule: non-coding RNA, 105 nt
Organism: Cutaneotrichosporon oleaginosum
Lineage: Eukaryota; Fungi; Basidiomycota; Tremellomycetes; Trichosporonales; Trichosporonaceae
Source: the annotation of a RefSeq genome assembly
UCUUCACUAGUAUAUCGGUUAGUAUAUUCGCCUCUCAUUAGAGAGUUGCUGGUGCUUCAGUCAGCGUAACCGCGAAAGAGCAGGGUUCAACUCCCUGGUGGAGAA